AUUGAACGCUGGCGGCAGGCUUAACACAUGCAAGUCGAGCGGGGUGAUGGUGCUUGCACUAUCACUUAGCGGCGGACGGGUGAGUAAUGCUUAGGAAUCUGCCUAUUAGUGGGGGACAACAUCCCGAAAGGGAUGCUAAUACCGCAUACGUCCUACGGGAGAAAGCAGGGGAUCACUUGUGACCUUGCGCUAAUAGAUGAGCCUAAGUCGGAUUAGCUAGUUGGUGGGGUAAAGGCCUACCAAGGCGACGAUCUGUAGCGGGUCUGAGAGGAUGAUCCGCCACACUGGGACUGAGACACGGCCCUGACUCCUACGGGAGGCAGCAGUGGGGAAUAUUGGACAAUGGGGGGAACCCUGAUCCAGCCAUGCCGCGUGUGUGAAGAAGGCCUUAUGGUUGUAAAGCACUUUAAGCGAGGAGGAGGCUCUUUUGGUUAAUACCCAAGAUGAGUGGACGUUACUCGCAGAAUAAGCACCGGCUAACUCUGUGCCAGCCGCCGCAGUAA
RNAcentral lists this ribosomal RNA (503 nucleotides) under uncultured bacterium. RNAcentral describes it as "partial 16S ribosomal RNA". It matches the Rfam family "Bacterial small subunit ribosomal RNA", at positions 30 to 523 of the family's 1533-position model. The record is from RNAcentral.